RNAcentral lists this ribosomal RNA (1557 nucleotides) under Klebsiella michiganensis. RNAcentral describes it as "bacterial LSU rRNA". It matches the Rfam family "Bacterial large subunit ribosomal RNA", at positions 1197 to 2734 of the family's 2925-position model. The record is from RNAcentral. Lineage: Bacteria; Pseudomonadati; Pseudomonadota; Gammaproteobacteria; Enterobacterales; Enterobacteriaceae.
AAGCUGCGGCAGCGACACUAUGUGUUGUUGGGUAGGGGAGCGUUCUGUAAGCCGUUGAAGGUGGCCUGUGAGGGUUGCUGGAGGUAUCAGAAGUGCGAAUGCUGACAUAAGUAACGAUAAUGCGGGUGAAAAACCCGCACGCCGGAAGACCAAGGGUUCCUGUCCAACGUUAAUCGGGGCAGGGUGAGUCGACCCCUAAGGCGAGGCCGAAAGGCGUAGUCGAUGGGAAACAGGUUAAUAUUCCUGUACUCGGUGUUACUGCGAAGGGGGGACGGAGAAGGCUAUGUUGGCCGGGCGACGGUUGUCCCGGUUUAAGCAUGUAGGCGGAUGUUCCAGGUAAAUCCGGAACGUCAUCAACGCUGAGGUGUGAUGACGAGGCACUACGGUGCUGAAGUGACAAAUGCCCUGCUUCCAGGAAAAGCCUCUAAGCAUCAGGUAACAUCAAAUCGUACCCCAAACCGACACAGGUGGUCAGGUAGAGAAUACCAAGGCGCUUGAGAGAACUCGGGUGAAGGAACUAGGCAAAAUGGUGCCGUAACUUCGGGAGAAGGCACGCUGAUGGUAGGUGAAGUGACUUGCUCAUGGAGCUGAAAUCAGUCGAAGAUACCAGCUGGCUGCAACUGUUUAUUAAAAACACAGCACUGUGCAAACACGAAAGUGGACGUAUACGGUGUGACGCCUGCCCGGUGCCGGAAGGUUAAUUGAUGGGGUUAUCCGUAAGGAGAAGCUCUUGAUCGAAGCCCCGGUAAACGGCGGCCGUAACUAUAACGGUCCUAAGGUAGCGAAAUUCCUUGUCGGGUAAGUUCCGACCUGCACGAAUGGCGUAAUGAUGGCCAGGCUGUCUCCACCCGAGACUCAGUGAAAUUGAACUCGCUGUGAAGAUGCAGUGUACCCGCGGCAAGACGGAAAGACCCCGUGAACCUUUACUAUAGCUUGACACUGAACACUGGUCCUUGAUGUGUAGGAUAGGUGGGAGGCUUUGAAGUGUGGACGCCAGUCUGCAUGGAGCCAUCCUUGAAAUACCACCCUUUAAUGGCUGGUGUUCUAACGUGGGCCCCUGAUCGGGGUUGCGGACAGUGUCUGGUGGGUAGUUUGACUGGGGCGGUCUCCUCCUAAAGAGUAACGGAGGAGCACGAAGGUCAGCUAAUCCUGGUCGGACAUCAGGAGGUUAGUGCAAUGGCAUAAGCUGGCUUGACUGCGAGCGUGACGGCGCGAGCAGGUGCGAAAGCAGGUCAUAGUGAUCCGGUGGUUCUGAAUGGAAGGGCCAUCGCUCAACGGAUAAAAGGUACUCCGGGGAUAACAGGCUGAUACCGCCCAAGAGUUCAUAUCGACGGCGGUGUUUGGCACCUCGAUGUCGGCUCAUCACAUCCUGGGGCUGAAGUAGGUCCCAAGGGUAUGGCUGUUCGCCAUUUAAAGUGGUACGCGAGCUGGGUUUAGAACGUCGUGAGACAGUUCGGUCCCUAUCUGCCGUGGGCGCUGGAGAAUUGAGGGGGGCUGCUCCUAGUACGAGAGGACCGGAGUGGACGCAUCACUGGUGUUCGGGUUGUCAUGCCAAUC